RNAcentral lists this ribosomal RNA (495 nucleotides) under uncultured bacterium. RNAcentral describes it as "partial 16S ribosomal RNA". It matches the Rfam family "Bacterial small subunit ribosomal RNA", at positions 28 to 507 of the family's 1533-position model. The record is from RNAcentral.
GAUGAACGCUGGCGGCGUGCUUAACACAUGCAAGUCGAACGAAGCACCUCUCCCGAAGAUUGACACAGCUUGCUGUAGAUUGAUUCAUUUGAGGUGACUGAGUGGCGGACGGGUGAGUAACGCGUGGGUAACCUGCCUCAUAGAGGGGGACAACAGUUGGAAACGACUGCCAAUACCGCAUAGUAAGAAGAAUUCGCAUGUUUUCUUCUUGAAAGAUUUAUCGCUAUGAGAUGGACCCGCGUCUGAUUAGCUAGUUGGUAAGGUAACGGCUUACCAAGGCGACGAUCAGUAGCCGGCUUGAGAGAGUGAACGGCCACAUUGGGACUGAGACACGGCCCAAACUCCUACGGGAGGCAGCAGUGGGGAAUAUUGCACAAUGGGGGAAACCCUGAUGCAGCGACGCCGCGUGAGUGAAGAAGUAUUUCGGUAUGUAAAGCUCUAUCAGCAGGGAAGAUAAUGACGGUACCUGACUAAGAAGCCCCGGCUAACUACGUG